CUAACACAGUCGGCCCAGGAUGGUGUAUAACAAGUGCGUUGUGAAGGGAUGUACAACCACUUCAUUGAAGAAGAACAUAGCUCUAUUUGAUACACCAGACAAUGAAGCGCUUUUUGCCAGGUGGCAAGAAAACAUCAUAACCAAUGAUGGCCAGCCAAUUACAGUUAACUCUAAAGUUUGCGAAUUACAUUUUAAUGCAAGGUGCAUUCGUAAAGAAAUAGUAUCCCACAGAAAUUAUAAAAUAGUCUGCGCUCUGUACUGUCAAGAAAUGCAAUUCCGUGUCUUAAGUUAGGGCAAACAGAAGUGAAAGAAUCUACUAGUGAUGCAGCAAAACAAGAAACAGUUGCCAACGUCGAAGUGAAAAAUGAAACUGAUGUCGAACAGACACACACUGCAGAUAUUUCAACGGAUGAAGCAGCAAUUGAAUUGACAGAGACCUCAAUCCAACAAGAAGAGACCAAUGUCCAAGAAACAAAUAAUUCCAUAAGCGAGUUGAAUCUAGGUGAGAAGCACGAUCGGUUAAUUACUAGGAAUGAGAGUGAGUUGGAGCAAGUCUCCUUGUCCAGCACUGAUGGAGACUCAGUUAGUGUGGCUCUUGAAGAAUCAAGUGUCUCUGUAAAAAGAGAGUUAGCUGUCGAGGAAAACACUGGUACAUCUUCUGUAGAAGAACCUGAAAUUUCAGAGAAAGAAUGGUGAACACUGGUUGUGAAGGAACAUCUGAGAGUCCGAAGGAAAUUAGCACUGCUCCAGAUGAAGAAAACAUGGUUUUAGCUUCAGAGUCAAUCGAUAACACCACAGAUGGUGACACUGCUUUCAAUGAAAAAGAUGUCGAUGAUCACAUUACUGCUGAUACAAAUCAAAGUGAUCAAAACGAUUUUCAUACCACAGAUGGUACGAGGGCCUCUGUUAAUGACGCUAAUGUAAAUGAGGAAAUGACAAAUUCACCUCAAGGUACAUCAGUCACAGAAGGAGAACCAAAAGAUUCUAAUGGAGAAAUUUGCCAGAAGACUUCUGAUAUCAAUACUUCUGAAGCAGAGAUACCAGUAGAAAAUAUAAGUGAAACUGGCGUUAGGUUUGAAUCGAAUUCAGGUACAGUCAGUACCACAGACAACGAAGUUACGACAAAUACUUCCUCCGGAGCCAUUGAAGUCAACAUGAAAGGUAACGGAUUCACAAAUUAGCUUGAAUUCUCUCACCGAUGGUCUGUGAAAACCAUGCCAAAUAUUUUUAUAAUUUCUCCUUCUUUCUGUGAGUGGGAACGCUAAUUAGUUGAAUGAAAUUAUUUUUUUUUCAUUAAUAUGAAAAAGAGCAACAAUUGGAUUGGAUUUUGCAAGAAGGAACCACUAGCAUUGCAAUGAUGCUAAGAUUGUGCAACUUCAUCCUUUGCAAUAAAAUUACGGAAAUCUUGAAAAAGUAU
RNAcentral lists this long non-coding RNA (1417 nucleotides) under Bemisia tabaci. RNAcentral's name for it is "lncRNA ENSSSA1NGG011186". The record is from RNAcentral. Lineage: Eukaryota; Metazoa; Arthropoda; Insecta; Hemiptera; Aleyrodidae.